This is a long non-coding RNA of Anneissia japonica, 212 nucleotides long. RefSeq lists it as uncharacterized. Lineage: Eukaryota; Metazoa; Echinodermata; Crinoidea; Comatulida; Comatulidae. The transcript is spliced from 3 exons. The record is from RefSeq and is a predicted model, not a curated record.
ACACCAGGUCAACACUAGAUUCGUUUUCAAGAUAAUCGCGAGCUUGAAUGCUGGGCUCUGUUGUUCACCAAGAAAAUAUGGCUAGAAAAUUAUUAUUAACGUUCAAUAGUACUCUACCCACAACAACUGCAAGUUCCGGAAUCAACUCUAUCCAACAGCUUUUUGCAUAUGGACAACAAACACCAGGAGCAAUACCCAUCGUUGUAGGUUUU